Molecule: ribosomal RNA, 524 nt
Filed under: uncultured bacterium
Lineage: Bacteria
Description: partial 16S ribosomal RNA
Rfam family: Bacterial small subunit ribosomal RNA
Source: RNAcentral
UGGGGAAUAUUGCACAAUGGGCGAAAGCCUGAUGCAGCAACGCCGCGUGAGUGAUGAAGGCCUUCGGGUUGUAAAGCUCUGUCUUUUGGGACGAUAAUGACGGUACCAAAGGAGGAAGCCACGGCUAACUACGUGCCAGCAGCCGCGGUAAUACGUAGGUGGCAAGCGUUGUCCGGAUUUACUGGGCGUAAAGGAUGCGUAGGCGGAUUUUUAAGUGAGAUGUGAAAUACCCGGGCUUAACUUGGGUGCUGCAUUUCAAACUGGGAAUCUAGAGUGCGGGAGAGGAGAAUGGAAUUCCUAGUGUAGCGGUGAAAUGCGUAGAGAUUAGGAAGAACACCAGUGGCGAAGGCGAUUCUCUGGACCAUAACUGACGCUGAGGCAUGAAAGCGUGGGUAGCAAACAGGAUUAGAUACCCUGGUAGUCCACGCCGUAAACGAUGAGUACUAGGUGUAGGAGGUAUCGACCCCUUCUGUGCCGCAGUUAACACAAUAAGUACUCCGCCUGGGAAGUACGAUCGCAAGAUU